Molecule: ribosomal RNA, 468 nt
Filed under: uncultured bacterium
Lineage: Bacteria
Description: partial 16S ribosomal RNA
Rfam family: Bacterial small subunit ribosomal RNA
Source: RNAcentral
GGCGAACGCUGGCGGCGUGCUUAACACAUGCAAGUCGAACGGAAAGGCCCUGCUUUUGUGGGGUGCUCGAGUGGCGAACGGGUGAGUAACACGUGAGUAACCUGCCCCUGACUUUGGGAUAACUUCAGGAAACUGGGGCUAAUACCGGAUAGGAGCUCCUGCUGCAUGGUGGGGGUUGGAAAGUUUCGGCGGUUGGGGAUGGACUCGCGGCUUAUCAGCUUGUUGGUGGGGUAGUGGCUUACCAAGGCUUUGACGGGUAGCCGGCCUGAGAGGGUGACCGGCCACAUUGGGACUGAGAUACGGCCCAGACUCCUACGGGAGGCAGCAGUGGGGAAUAUUGCACAAUGGGCGGAAGCCUGAUGCAGCAACGCCGCGUGCGGGAUGACGGCCUUCGGGUUGUAAACCGCUUUCGCCUGUGACGAAGCGUGAGUGACGGUAAUGGGUAAAGAAGCACCGGCUAACUACGUG